CCUACGGGUGGCAGCAGUGAGGAAUAUUGGUCAAUGGGCUUACGCCCGAACCAGCCAAGUCGCGUGAGGGAAGACGGUCCUAUGGAUUGUAAACCUCUUUUGUCGGGGAGCAAAAGACGCCACGCGUGGCGUUCCGAGAGUACCCGAAGAAAAAGCAUCGGCUAACUCCGUGCCAGCAGCCGCGGUAAUACGGAGGAUGCGAGGGUUAUCCGGAUUUUUUGGGUUAAGAGGGUGCGCAGGCGGAAGAUCAAGCCAGCGGUAAAAUUGAGAGGCUCAACCUCUUCGAGCCGUUGAAACUGGUUUUCUGGAGUGAGCAAGAAGUAUGCGGAAUGCGUGGUGUAGCGGUGAAAUGCAUAGAUAUCACGCAGAACUCCGAUUGCGAAGGCAGCAUACCGGCGCUCAACUGACGCUCAUGCACGAAAGUGUGGGUAUCGAACAGGAUUAGAUACCCCAGUAGUC
Molecule: ribosomal RNA, 459 nt
Filed under: uncultured bacterium
Lineage: Bacteria
Description: partial 16S ribosomal RNA
Rfam family: Bacterial small subunit ribosomal RNA
Source: RNAcentral